AACAGUGAGAGGCCCGCGUACCGCAAAAAAAAAAAAAAAAAAAAAAAAGAAGCAACUUCUCAUCCAUUCAAGUUUUACCCUGAGAUUGCAGCAAUUCAGUCACAUCUUCAGGCUCCACUUCUAAUGCUAGUUCUCUUGCUCUUUCCACCACAUCUGCAGUUACUUCCUCCACUGAAGUCUUGAACUCUACAAAGUCAUCCAUGAAGAUUGGAAUCAACUUCUUCCGAACCACCGUUAAUGUUGAUAUUUUGACCUCUUCCCAUGAAUCAUGAAUGUUCUUAAUUAUCUAGAAUGGGUCUUCUUGAGACUACUGGCACAUAGCCUCGUACUGUGCUGGUACUGCAGGAUGCUGAAGUUGGGAAAACAGCCUAUUAAGAAGUGAGUUUGAACUGGUCAGAUAAAGGAUUAAGAAAAACAAAUUCAAAGAAAAGAUUUUUCUCAAGUUACUAAAGGAAAUUAUCCUCAGAAGUGUCCCAACAGGAAGAAACUGUGGAGAAUGCUUCCCCCCGACCAACUCCCACCCAAUUAUCUUGCACAGAGAUACCUAGUAAAACUGCAUGUUGUAGACACUUGAAUUUGGACAGACAAGCAACCCAGCCACCUUUCAGUGUGGCUGUGUCAGUAUUGGAAUGAAAUGAACAUGACCCCCUCCAGCAGGGAAGGAACACACAGUAAAGCCUUCACCUCAAAGAUCAGAUUCAGCAGACGGUAGAACUUGCUUUGAACCACCUUCUUCUUCUCCACAAUGCUAACAUCAGGAUUUGGUAAAAAGAGGUACUGUCCAUUUCCCCCAAAAAGACUUCGAAUAUUUGUGGUCCAGCAACUUAUAAAAGUAAGAACCCCUCCCUCCAUCUGAUCAUCCAUUCCUUUAUUACCUGGGGUCCUAAAGAUUUACGAAAACUGGCCAUAAAUUUAGGAAGAGCCCUACUCCAUGGAACAAUUUCUUUCCUAGGAGAGAUCCCAAGGCUUCCAACAGUUCUAGAAAUGAAAAUAAGCUCUCUCCAAUAGAUUACAUACAUUUACCUAUUCCCAAUUCCAGGUUACAGUCCAGGUUACUUACCAGGUGUGGCUGAGUUGGAGGACACAGGUGAAAAGAAAGAUGCACACAGAAGGCUUCGUAAGCAACAUAAUCCUCUGGAGUGACAAGGAUAGAAAAUUCUAAAAACUUGGGAGAUUGAGAAGUUAUAAAGAUAAUCUCUGGGACUUCCCUGGUGGCACAGUGGUUAAGAAUCCACCUGCCGAUGCAGGGGACACGGAUUCAAUCCCUGAUCCGGGAAGAUCGCACAUGCCGCGGAGCAACUAAGCCUGUGAGCCACAACUACUGAGCCCACGUGCUGCAUCUACUGAAGCCCACAUGCUCUAGAACCCAUGCUCCACAACAAGAGAAGCCACCACAGUGAGAAGCCUGCGCACCGCGACAAAGAAUCUUAGUUCCACUACCUGGGAUCAGCAGUGAAAGUGCAGAGUCCUAACCACUGGACCACCAGGGAAUUCCCAAAGAUUCUUGAAAAGUCCAAGGAUUUUCACAAAAGUCUCUUAUAAAAACACAUGUAGAACCUAUCAAAAAAGAGAUUAAGAAAGAGGUGGUGGUGACAUGAGGACUGCUCUUUUUAAGAUCAGGUGGUAAUGGAAGGCAUUUCUGAAGAGGAGAUGUAUGAAAUGAGACAUGAAAGACAGGAAAGAGACAUCUCGCAUGGAUCCACGGGGAGCAGUCCAGUGAAUGGAACAGUAGAUGCAAAGGUCCAGAGGUAGGAACAAGUUUGGCAGGUUUAUGGAACAAAAAGAAGACUUGUAAGGCUGAAGCAUAGUAAGCAAAGAUGGGGAGAACAGUUGGAGAUAAAGUCAAAGAGGUAGAAUAAACUAAAUCAGGAAGAACCUUCAAGAUAUUUGGAUUUGAUUCUAAGAGAAAUGGGAAGCCAUAGGAAGGUUUUAAGCAGGGGAGUAUUGUGAUAUGGUUUAUAUUAUUGAAAAAUGUAUUCUAGUUGUUGUGUGAAGAAUGCAUUAGAAGAAUGAUAGAAUAGAAGCAGGGAAAACCAUUUAGGAGACUGCUGUGGAGGUCCAGGUGGAAGAUGAUGGUGGCUUGGCCAAUGAUGUUAGCAGCAGAUGUAAAGAGAAGUAGACAGAUCCAAAGAUUUUUUCCAAUACAUUGGUUCUAUGAUUUUCAGAGGAAAUUAAUUUUUUAUUUCAAAAAGAAAAAUAAUAUAGGCAUGCAAGAAACAUGAACAUUUAACUUUUAGUGCUUAUGAUUUCACAAUGGCUUGUACACUUAACAUUGUUUGUGGAUGGGAAAGGCAUUCUUUAAAACGAGAGCAC
This is a non-coding RNA of Kogia breviceps (pygmy sperm whale), 2313 nucleotides long. The record is from RefSeq and is a predicted model, not a curated record. NCBI's taxonomy places the organism in Eukaryota, Metazoa, Chordata, Mammalia, Artiodactyla, Physeteridae.